RNAcentral lists this ribosomal RNA (735 nucleotides) under uncultured bacterium. RNAcentral describes it as "bacterial SSU rRNA". It matches the Rfam family "Bacterial small subunit ribosomal RNA", at positions 28 to 776 of the family's 1533-position model. The record is from RNAcentral.
GACGAACGCUGGCGGCGCGCCUAACACAUGCAAGUCGAACGAGCGAGAGAGAGCUUGCUUUCUCGAGCGAGUGGCGAACGGGUGAGUAACGCGUGAGGAACCUGCCUCAAAGAGGGGGACAACAGUUGGAAACGACUGCUAAUACCGCAUAAGCCCACAGGUCGGCAUCGACCAGAGGGAAAAGGAGUGAUCCGCUUUGAGAUGGCCUCGCGUCCGAUUAGCUAGUUGGUGAGGUAACGGCCCACCAAGGCGACGAUCGGUAGCCGGACUGAGAGGUUGAACGGCCACAUUGGGACUGAGACACGGCCCAGACUCCUACGGGAGGCAGCAGUGGGGAAUAUUGCACAAUGGGGGAAACCCUGAUGCAGCGACACCGCGUGAGCGAAGAAGUAUUUCGGUAUGUAAAGCUCUAUCAGCAGGGAAGAAAAUGACGGUACCUGACUAAGAAGCACCGGCUAAAUACGUGCCAGCAGCCGCGGUAAUACGUAUGGUGCAAGCGUUAUCCGGAUUUACUGGGUGUAAAGGGAGCGUAGACGGUUGUGUAAGUCUGAUGUGAAAGCCCGAGGCUCAACCCCGGGACUGCAUUGGAAACUAUGUAACUAGAGUGUCGGAGAGGUAAGCGGAAUUCCUAGUGUAGCGGUGAAAUGCGUAGAUAUUAGGAGGAACACCAGUGGCGAAGGCGGCUUACUGGACGAUCACUGACGUUGAGGCUCGAAAGCGUGNGGAGCAAACAGG